UUGCUUUGGCAGCACAUAUGCAAAAACUGAAAUGAUGUGGGGAUAACAUAAUUUCUGCCCAAGGAUAGCAUGCAAUUUCAUGAAAUGUUCCAUAUAUUU
Molecule: small nuclear RNA, 99 nt
Filed under: Carlito syrichta (Philippine tarsier)
Lineage: Eukaryota; Metazoa; Chordata; Mammalia; Primates; Tarsiidae
Source: RNAcentral